This 68-nucleotide transfer RNA is filed under the name Macrophthalmus pacificus. RNAcentral describes it as "tRNA-Ser". The record is from RNAcentral. Lineage: Eukaryota; Metazoa; Arthropoda; Malacostraca; Decapoda; Macrophthalmidae.
GGGGUAUCAUGUCAAGAAACGAAAGCUUCUAACUUUUUUUCAAGCGGUUGAAUUCCGUUUAUACUCCU